RNAcentral lists this long non-coding RNA (637 nucleotides) under Pongo abelii (Sumatran orangutan). Its description in RNAcentral is "lncRNA (ENSPPYG00000033229.1)". The record is from RNAcentral. Lineage: Eukaryota; Metazoa; Chordata; Mammalia; Primates; Hominidae.
UCAACUUAUGAGCGACAUGGCCGCCAUGUUGCUGUCAUGAACUCUCUCCCUCUCUCUCUCUCUCUCCUCCUCUCUGUCUCUCUCACCCACCACACAUCUCACCACCGGGAAGAAGUGCCAGGGCCCUUCUCUGUUUUCUUUCUGAGGGAAAAGGACAUCUGUGGCAGAACCAGUCUCUUUUGACAGCCCAUUUCUUGCCUGCCGUCUGCUGGACCUUUGGGCCGGGGCAUAACCUUCCAAACGGGACUUGGCAGACCCAAUUCUCCCCUUUGGCAGUUCCGAGCCCAAGACUUGAGGGUGAUGCUAGGAGCCUCCAGUUCGCCCUCUGGGACCAACCAAGUUCUCAAAUCCAGCUUUUCCACAGAGCGGUCUCUAAGUCACUACCCUAAGAAGCCCCUUGACGAUGUGCCCAGCUGGUGAGAGGAUUCUCUGAAUGAUGUCUGCACACUGACUUGCUCCUAAAUGUAGAAUCACUGUCACUGACAAAUGCAGACUGGAGAUGGGGUGUGGUGCUGGCAACUGAAAUACCUGGAAAGCAAUGCUGUUUGUAAUCAGAUUGUCCAGCCUGGAAAACGGCUCUUAGAAAAGUUCCAAACAAAUCAAAAUACAGACUUCUCUUGAUGGGUACAAUGGUUGC